CGCCUUGUGGAGCAAGCCGGAAGGUAAGGGCACAGGAGUCAGCAGAGGUCAUAGUAGCCAAAGGCCUGGGGUAAUGCCCAGGACAUGGUGAAGGAC
Molecule: non-coding RNA, 96 nt
Organism: Dissulfuribacter thermophilus
Lineage: Bacteria; Pseudomonadati; Thermodesulfobacteriota; Dissulfuribacteria; Dissulfuribacterales; Dissulfuribacteraceae
Source: Rfam